RNAcentral lists this unclassified non-coding RNA (2160 nucleotides) under Hevea brasiliensis (rubber tree). Lineage: Eukaryota; Viridiplantae; Streptophyta; Magnoliopsida; Malpighiales; Euphorbiaceae. The record is from RNAcentral.
GGGCAAGUUCCCAGGCCAAUGAAAAAAGAAAAAACACUCACAUGAAUCUAUACGUUAUCUCCCUCGAAUAUCAGUUUCCUCUGCUUCUUCUUUGUCAGUGCGGUUUUGUAUUCUCUUUUCCCUGUCUAUGCUCUCAUUCCCUCUUUCUCUGUAAUCUCUUCUUUAAUUAUAAAAUCUAAAUUGUAUUUUCAUGGGAGAAUCCAUUCCUGCUCGUUGCAUAUCCGUUCAUCAAGCUCUUGGCGGCGGCGCAGUAGUGGCUGAUUUGCUGUUAUGGAAGAUAUGAUGUGGGAGUGUUACGAUUCUAGUUACAGCGACUACCUUGUGGAUGCUGUUUGAGUAAGCCGGUUAUAAUCUCUUGUCUUUUUUAGCUAAUGUGUUAUUGCUUCUCGUCGCCAUUCUCUUCUUCUGGGCCAAAUCUGCUUCCCUUCUCAACAGGUUCUCUUUCAUGUCCCUUUUGCAUCUCAAUGUUUUUUAAUUUGAAAAUUUUGCCAUUAUCAGUUGUACUUGAAUAAUAAAGCAAAGCAACCAUGGACAAGAUAAGGGUAAUUCUUCUUUUGGAAUUAAAAAAAAGAUAGAUCUUUCUUCUCUAGCUUUCAUUUUCUAAAAUGGAAAAUGAUUAGUUCUGUGCAUCAGGCCUCUGCCUCCCCUGCCUGACCUGGAAAUUUCUGAGGAGACUAUUGUCAAGGCUGCUGGUGUGCUUCAAGUGUAUGCUAAUCAUGCGCUGUCAAUUGCACGUGAGAUUGUAAUCGGCAGAAAUUUGAAAUUGUUCCUUCAGGUUAGGAGAUAUAACCCCUCAAUUGAACUUUUUAUGCAAGAUUUUGGAUUUGUUUAUUUUAUUUUAUUUUUAUUGAUUAAUUACAAAAUACUUCCUGAUAUUUGCAUUAAAAUACACUUUUAUAAUUGCUGUUAGCAAUUUUAAGCCCUAUACUACCAUCUGUGAAAAUCACAAAAUUUUGAGCAACUGGUUACUGAAUUGUUUUAUAAUACGGUAAUUUAGAGAUUAUAGUCCUACUAAAUUUUGAAACUUUACUUUGGAGACUAAAGUGUAAUCAAAUCCAAAAUUUUAGGGACUUAAGUGUAGUGAAUUUUAUAAUCAUGUACUAAAAAGUUGAAUUAUUAACAAUCUUCAAUGACUAGAAUUAUUAUAGUAAGGACCAAAGUGUAUAUUAUAGAAAACCUCAAGGGUCUCUUUUUAAUUAAUCCUAUUUUUAUUGAUUCAAGCAGCUUGUUUUUUCCAUGCAUUAUUGACAUGCAAUGGGAUUCUUUAGGUCGCUUUUGGUUUGUGGUUAGCAUCAUAUAUUGGUAGUCUCUGCAAUUUCCUCACUCUUGUCUAUAUUGGGGUUCUCCUUAGCCUUUCAGUUCCUGUACUUUAUGACAAAUACCAGCACCGCAUUGAUGAAAAGUUGUCUGUAACACACAGAAUCAUUCAAACACAGUAUAGGAAAAUCGAUGAAAGCCUCCUAAAGAAGAUUCCACUGCCAUCAAGCAAGGAAAAGAAGAUUCAGUAGGUAAGUCUCUGCUUCCACCAGCCACCCACAACCAACAUACAUCAAUACUUUAUCAAUCUUGCACUUAUGGGAUCUCUUCUAGAAUUAUCAAUGCUAGAAUUACUAGAAUCCAAAUUUCAUACCAAGGCAUUGGGCUAAAGAAAAUGAUAUAGGAAGACAUAAUUGUCAAACUCCAUAUUUGAGACAGAAGAGAAUGUUAAUGAAAAUCUCCAUUUGAGUGAGGUUAGACAAUAUUCUACAUUUCUUAGAGUUCAGUUAGGAAAAAUAAGGAAAAAAGAAAAGGAAAUAUGUGAGGUAAAGGGAAAUAAAAUAGAGAACAAGAGUAGAUAGAGAAUGGAUGGAAUAGUGGACCGAGAGAGAGUGGAGAGUUGGAAAAAAAGGAAAAGCAAGAAACAGGAACCUUUUUGGAAUGUGUGGAUGGACAUCAAGAGAGAGGGGAUUGGCUAGAGGGCGCCAUGGAAGGCCUUUUGGAGCCUUGCCUUCUUCUUUUCUUAUGUUCUUUUCUUUUUCUAUUUUGCUGGAACUCUCUUUCUCUCGAUCUCUCUCCCUUUGUUGCUUUCAAUUUUGAUUGGGGUGUAUACAAUAUACCAUAAUCUAAUAAUCACCUUAUAUCAACAGCCUAUUGUGAAUAAUAUCAAGUAAAUAGAAAAGA